This 468-nucleotide ribosomal RNA is filed under the name uncultured bacterium. RNAcentral's name for it is "partial 16S ribosomal RNA". It matches the Rfam family "Bacterial small subunit ribosomal RNA", at positions 28 to 507 of the family's 1533-position model. The record is from RNAcentral.
GACGAACGCUGGCGGCGUGCCUAACACAUGCAAGUCGAACGGAAAGGCCCUGCGUUUGUGGGGUGCUCGAUUGGCGAACGCGGGAGUAACACGUGUGUAACCUGCCCUUGUCUUUCGGAUAACAUCAGGAAACUGGGGCUAAUACCGGAUAGGAGCUCCUGCUGCAUGGUGGGGGUUGGAAAGUUUCGGCGGUUGGGGAUGGACUCGCGGCUUAUGAGCUAGUUGGUGGGGUAGUGGCUGACCAAGGCUUUGACGGGUAGCCGGCCUGAGAGGGUGACCGGCGACAAGGCGACUGAGAGACGGCCCAGACGCCUACGGGAGGCAAUGGUGGGGAGCAUUGCACAGUGGGCGGGCGCCUGAUGCAGAGACGCCGCGUGCGGGAUGCCCUCCUUCGGGUUAAGAACCGCUUUCGCCUGUGACGAAGCGGGAGUGACGGUAAUGGGUAAAGAAGCACCGGCUAACUACGUG